AAAACUUUCAACAACGGAUCUCUUGGUUCCAGCAUCGAUGAGAACGCAGCGAAAUGCGAUAACUAAUGUGAAUUGCAGAAUUCAGUGAAUCAUCGAGUCUUUGAACGCACAUUGCGCCCCUCGGUAUUCCGGGGGGCAUGCCUGUUCGAGCGUCAUU
RNAcentral lists this ribosomal RNA (157 nucleotides) under Cetrariella delisei. RNAcentral's name for it is "5.8S ribosomal RNA". It matches the Rfam family "5.8S ribosomal RNA". From Rfam's summary of the family: 5.8S ribosomal RNA (5.8S rRNA) is a component of the large subunit of the eukaryotic ribosome. RNAcentral also lists the same sequence under 1 other name. Lineage: Eukaryota; Fungi; Ascomycota; Lecanoromycetes; Lecanorales; Parmeliaceae. The record is from RNAcentral.